AGGGAAGCAUGUGGACACUCGAACAGGAAACGUCAUAGAGAAAACUCAGCAAGGCAGACAGGGGAAGAAGGGCUUUGCUUAAUUGUUCUCUCAAAGCAAAGGUAAGGAAACUGAGGCUUAGAGGAGUUAUGAAAUUGCCCAAGGUUUCACAGCUGAAAUGUAUAAGGACCUGGACUUGCAAAUUUGGCACAAAGUUCUUCUAAUAAGAGGCCAUAAAAUAACCAAAUGAUUUUUUAUGUGCCUAUAGAACCAAAAGAACUAUUUCAGAAUGUCAGCUGAAAAGCACGAUAUUCCAGAUAGCUUAGAAACCUUGGCAUAGUGCCUUCCUGGAAAUCCUGGAUUGCAUCUAAAACCAUGUGGCAGAGGGAGAAACAACAGACAGGACAUCCUGAGAAGACUCAGGCUGGGACGAAAGCUCUGCUCUCCAGGGACAAAGCAGCAGGGGACCAGCCAUGCUCAGAAAUACUCCACUGGCCAGUGCACAUUUUUUUGAGCAAUUUCACUUGCUUCCUCACCACCUGUCCCCCUAACACUUC
Homo sapiens (human) is the source of this 536-nucleotide long non-coding RNA. Ensembl annotates it as TBX18 antisense RNA 1. Its record names the gene TBX18-AS1. The record is from Ensembl. NCBI's taxonomy places the organism in Eukaryota, Metazoa, Chordata, Mammalia, Primates, Hominidae.